This 217-nucleotide ribosomal RNA is filed under the name uncultured Spirochaetaceae bacterium. Its description in RNAcentral is "partial 16S ribosomal RNA". It matches the Rfam family "Bacterial small subunit ribosomal RNA", at positions 1168 to 1382 of the family's 1533-position model. Lineage: Bacteria; Pseudomonadati; Spirochaetota; Spirochaetia; Spirochaetales; Spirochaetaceae. The record is from RNAcentral.
AGGAAGUGGGGAUGACGUCAAGUCCUCAUGGCCCUUAUGUCCAGGGCUACACGACGUGCUACAAUGGUCGGUACAGAGUGACGCGAAGCCGCGAGGUGGAAGCAAAUCGCAAAAAGCCGACCUUAGUUCGGAUUGGAGUCUGAAACUCGACUCCAUGAAGGUGGAAUCGCUAGUAAUCGCGCAUCAGCAUGGCGCGGUGAAUACGUUCCCGGGCCUU